This 279-nucleotide ribosomal RNA is filed under the name Paenibacillus lautus. RNAcentral's name for it is "partial 16S rRNA". It matches the Rfam family "Bacterial small subunit ribosomal RNA", at positions 68 to 334 of the family's 1533-position model. Lineage: Bacteria; Bacillati; Bacillota; Bacilli; Caryophanales; Paenibacillaceae. The record is from RNAcentral.
GACUUGAUGGAGUGCUUGCACUCUGAGAGUUAGCGGCGGACGGGUGAGUAACACGUAGGCAACCUGCCCUCGAGACUGGGAUAACUACCGGAAACGGUAGCUAAUACCGGAUAAUUUAUCUCAGCAGCAUUGUGGAAUAAUGAAAGACGGAGCAAUCUGUCACUUGGGGAUGGGCCUGCGGCGCAUUAGCUAGUUGGUGGGGUAAUGGCUCACCAAGGCGACGAUGCGUAGCCGACCUGAGAGGGUGAACGGCCACACUGGGACUGAGACACGGCCCAG